Molecule: ribosomal RNA, 440 nt
Filed under: uncultured bacterium
Lineage: Bacteria
Description: partial 16S ribosomal RNA
Rfam family: Bacterial small subunit ribosomal RNA
Source: RNAcentral
CCUACGGGUGGCAGCAGUGGGGAAUAUUGCACAAUGGGGGAAACCCUGAUGCAGCGACGCCGCGUGAGUGAAGAAGUAUCUCGGUACGUAAAGCUCUAUUAGCAGGGAAGAAAAUGACGGUACCUGACUAAGAAGCCCCGGCUAAUUACGUUCCAGCAGCCGCGGUAAUACGGAGGGGGCAAGCGUUAUCCGGAUUUACUGGGUGUAAGGGGAGCGUAGACGGCAGCGCAAGUCGGGAGUGAAAUCCCUUGGCUUAACCAUGGAACUGCUUUGGAAACCGUGCAACUGGAGUGCAGGAGAGGUAAGCGGAAUUCCUGGUGUAGCGGUGAAAUGCGUAGAUAUUAGGAGGAACACCGAUUGCGAAGGCAGCUUACCAAGCUACUUCUGACGUUGAGGCACGAAAGCGUGGGUAGCAAACAGGAUUAGAUACCCUUGUAGUC